RNAcentral lists this long non-coding RNA (3771 nucleotides) under Lotus japonicus. RNAcentral's name for it is "long non-coding RNA (LJAP_LNC001414)". Lineage: Eukaryota; Viridiplantae; Streptophyta; Magnoliopsida; Fabales; Fabaceae. The record is from RNAcentral.
GUGGGAGGUACAGAAGAUUUCUUGUUUGUGCAAGGCUAUGUUACCUCUUCUCCUGUUGAUCUAAAGGGUGUUACCGUUACCUACAAGAUUGAAUUUCAUCUAUACUGGCCUCCUUAUGCAACUCAUGCCUCUUAAUUAGGAACUUGAUUUGUUCUUAUUUUAGUUGAAGGCUCAUGUUUUACAAAGCUGUAUCAGAGCAGUUUUUGAAAUGAAAAACGUCAUGGUUUAUGUUUGGAAACUUAGUUUUUACAUUUGUAUUUUACAACUACUCCUACACUCAUCCAAUUAUGGUACACUAUAGUGAAUAUUGUAAUAAAUAUAAAGGAUUUUCAACAGUGACGGAUCCAGGAUUUCUUAGUUGUGGGGCCAAAACACACGCACGUACAUAUAAAUAAAAUAUAAAAGAUUUAGUGUGGGCAAAUAAUACAAAUAACAUAUAUUUUUUACUGUACAAACAAGCAAGAUACAUAGUAUUUAAAAAACAUUUAACCACAAGGGGUGACACAAGUGGUGACUGUCUAUUUUUUUAAGAGAUUUCACCUAGGCUUCUGACCCGGGUUUGAAAGAGGAGAAAAAAAUUAUGUGAUCCUUUGCAAGAUUGUGAAUGGAACUUGAAAGCAGCAGAGUAUUAGGUUCAAGCUGAGAGCAUGAGCAAACUAAACUUUCGCAGGUUCAAAUCUUUUAAUUUGUUUUCAGAUAGUAUUCACAAGCAAAAUAUAAAAAUCCCAGCAUAGAAGAUCAUAUACAAUAGAACGUAUAACCCUUGACAAUACGUUGAGGCAGUGAACAACUGUUUACAUUAUUUUACUUAUCGACUAUCCUAGGUUUAAUGAGGUAAUUUCAUAUGGUUCAACAAAACUUGCAUAAGCUUUGAAAUGAAAAGAUUGAUUUUCUUAAUGGAUGGAUGGGAUAACCAAACAAGAUAGCAAAUUAUAUACUAGGGUGUUUCUCAAAAAAUAGUCCUCAGUUCCUAACACGUGAACAAGGAAAGAUGGCACCUAAUCCUUACAGGCAGAAAGAGGCUAUCAAGAAAGUCUGAACAGUUUGUGAGCUGCUUAUUAUAUCAAGGAAAGUCUAAGCAGCCUUUUAUUUCCUUGAAAAAAGAAAAACUUAGGACAUUAGGUCAGGUGGUGGGGAUCAUUUUAUUUCAAAGACAUGUAUGUGCCGCAAUGAGUUUAUAAUGAACCUAAAUUUAUCAACAAAAGUCAAGAAUCCUAAUUGACAACAAGUUAUCAUAGUCAUUAAGAAAUUCCGUAAACUUGAAUAGCAGCGCAUUUAGUUUCCCACAUAUACAGUAACCUUGAUUUCUGAAAUAGUAUGAAUCAAUGAAUUUGGUAAAACGAAUACAAUAUAAACCUUGAAUGCUUCCAUCUUAAACAAGGCACAAAAAAAAAUUCAAAUAUACAAGAGGUGCAAGAAACACCGAUGAAGCAGCAAAAGCAGAACAUGAUUGUAGUUAUAUGAAUAUAUUUCUGAGAGCUGCAGUGUUUACAAAUUAGUAAAGAAAGAAUAAAUAUAUUAAGCAGCCAGAGGAAGCGUUAGGUGAAGAUAUAAUUCUUUGAAGUGAUUUCGGUGUAGUAGUAGAACUAAAGCCUCUUCCCGUGACUCCUGUUGCAAUACUUCAAAGAAAAACUUUAAUUGUUCAAAAUUGAUUUAUAUGGAAGUUAAACCCGGGGAUUGUGUAGGCGAGGUCUAUUGCAGAAAACCCGGCCGUUGGCCCGCACAAAUGCUGCUAUACCAACACUAAUGCUUGCCCACAUUAGCGAAAAGAACAAGUGCCGAAAAUCAUAUCGAACUGUAGGAAAAAUGAACAGUCAGGCUUAAAGAUAACCGAUUUUACACCAUAUGUGAUAAGUAGUUGAUUAAUCUAUACGUGGUUGGCCUUAACCCCAAGCUAGCAAAAUCUAUAUUAGACGGUUAAACAAGACAAAUAGAGACAAAACUUCACUAUGUAACAACUUGAUAAUAAUGUAAUCAGUACAGGAAUAUCUAAUUUACUCUGCUUGUAUUCCUGCAACGAGGGAAGGACAAAAAUUCUCAUAAUCUUUGAAAGUCACGUUUUGCUUAAAUAUCUAGAAAUCGGGCAUUUUACGAUGCUUCAAAUUCUUUCCUUGACAACCUAAUUAUUUUAUUAUGAAAACUAAAGAUCCAUAUUAGAAGUGGCUUUCCUCCUUAUAUAUAUUUUUUGAACGUCUUUCCUUUUCUUAUAUAAAAGAGCCUAAAAUUGCAUACAUGAAUUUGGGUCAGUACUGAAAUGACCCAUAUAUACAUAACCACCUAAAAAUGAGGCGGGGUCGCAUAAUCCUAUAAACCAUGAAAGUCACUAAUAUAGCGUAAUAAACAUAUAAUUCACACAUAUAGAGAAUUAAUAUACGUAAAUGAUGUCAGACCGUCCACGCAUGAAGAGGCUACCCAUCAUACAAAGAAGUCAUGACUAAAGACUCGUUUGAGUUAGGUGACUCAUCAUUGGGUGUGUAAUUGUGUCCACCACCGUAGAUAAGUUUACCGAUAUUUUUUAUGAACUUUUUUAUGUAAGUUACUAUUGUGGCGGCCUUGAAUUACAAACUAAAGGAACGCAACUUUGACUUAUUCUUAUCGUGUUCCCUUUACCUUAUCACUCAUUUACUAGUGCCACCUGCUCCACCAUUUUGAAAGGCAUUUUAUUUUAACUUGGAAAGAAGCAUCUCACCUAAAAUCACUUAAUAAAAGUAUAAAAAAAAAAGUGAACUGAAAAAUGAAAAAUCAAAUUUUUGCACGCAAUUCAAAAUGCAGUAAAGUAAUUUUGGCCCUUUCUACACUGCAACAAGGUCUUCAAGGAUUCACACAAAUUUUCCAACAUCUUAUAAUGACUAGACUAGUGAAUUUAGAAUUCCUUGACUCUGAUUCGCCAUCACCUGCAAUGCAACAUAACAAGCUAGCUUUUCACACUGUAAUGUGAAGUAUGAACCUAGUCUUUAUAAUGAGAUAUAACCCUCCCUUUUGUGAUCAAAACUUAGUUACAAAUCAUAGAUAGCUAUGGCUUAUGCUUUGCAAAACUAUGCUCUUAAUAUUUUUCUUUUGGCCUUGGCCUUAAUCCCAUUUGAGGGAGCCUGUGGCUCCCAUCAUCACCAAUUGCAGCACCUCAAAUCCCUUCACUUCUCUCUGUUUCAACAUGAAACCAUAAACAGAACAGGAUAUGUCAUAGUGAAUGGAGUGCAAGGAGGGCCAGGAAUCACUGAAACCACAACCCCUUUUGGCACUCUAUUUGUCUUUCAGGACCCUUUGACUGUCACAGCCAACAGAUCCUCCAAACUUGUUGGAAUUGCUGAGGGAACUUCCAUCACCUCAAGCCUUGAUGGGCUUCGCAGCAUUUCGAUUGCGAAGCUAACUCUGCGCCUGAAAAAUCACAGGGGUUCUGUUUCCAUUGUUGGAGGUACACAUAAUGUUAAGCCUUCAGAUCAUCCAAUAGUGGGAGGUACAGAAGAUUUCUUGUUUGUGCAAGGCUAUGUUACCUCUUCUCCUGUUGAUCUAAAGGGUGUUACCGUUACCUACAAGAUUGAAUUUCAUCUAUACUGGCCUCCUUAUGCAACUCAUGCCUCUUAAUUAGGAACUUGAUUUGUUCUUAUUUUAGUUGAAGGCUCAUGUUUUACAAAGCUGUAUCAGAGCAGUUUUUGAAAUGAAAAACGUCAUGGUUUAUGUUUGGAAACUUAGUUUUUACAUUUGUAUUUUACAACUACUCCUACACUCAUCCAAUUAUGGUACACUAUAGUGAAUAUUGUAAUAAAUAUAAAG